AGAGCCAUUGAUGGCAACUGGUGGCACGUGCAUAUGGAUGGUAAAUAAUAUGUGCCUGGAGUACUAAGGUCCAA
Panthera pardus (leopard) is the source of this 74-nucleotide small nucleolar RNA. NCBI's taxonomy places the organism in Eukaryota, Metazoa, Chordata, Mammalia, Carnivora, Felidae. The record is from Ensembl.